UACGUAGGGGGCAAGCGUUGUCCGGAAUCAUUGGGCGUAAAGCGCGCGUAGGCGGCCCGGUAAGUCCGCUGUAAAAGUCCAGGGCUCAACCCUGGAAAGCCGGUGGAUACUGUCGGGCUAGAGUCCGGAAGAGGCGAGUGGAAUUCCUGGUGUAGCGGUGGAAUGCGCAGAUAUCAGGAGGAACACCAACGGCGAAGGCAGCUCGCUGGGACGGUACUGACGCUAAGGCGCGAAAGCGUGGGGAGCGAACAGG
Molecule: ribosomal RNA, 253 nt
Filed under: uncultured bacterium
Lineage: Bacteria
Description: partial 16S ribosomal RNA
Rfam family: Bacterial small subunit ribosomal RNA
Source: RNAcentral